Molecule: ribosomal RNA, 741 nt
Filed under: Chondracanthus acicularis
Lineage: Eukaryota; Rhodophyta; Florideophyceae; Gigartinales; Gigartinaceae
Description: eukaryotic LSU rRNA
Rfam family: Eukaryotic large subunit ribosomal RNA
Source: RNAcentral
UAAAUAGCGGCUGGAGACCGAUAGCGAACAAGUACCGUGAGGGAAAGAUGACAAGCACUUUGAAAAGAGGGUGAAAAGAGCCUGAAACCGUCACGGGGGAAGCGGAUUGCGUUGGAUUGAUGGGCGCUUGUGUGUUCAGCCUUCGGGUGCAUUGGCACAAGUGCUUAUCCGCUGUGAGUUUUCGGGGGUCGAUUUUGGACCCCUGGGGACUGAGGGCUCCCUUCUUUUAGGUGAGGACAGCGGAGUGACGACGCGAUACGACCCGUCUUGAAACACGGACCAAGGAGUCUAGCGCGGGUGCGAGUCGGAGGGUGCAAGCCCGUGGGCGAAGUGAAAGCGAGUUUUAAAAACGAGCAGUUUGGGGCGGCAUAAGAUCGUUGAUCUUAAGACCGACCCGGAGCAGUUGCGCUGGGACCCGAAAGAUGGUGAACUAUGCCGGAGUAGGGCAAAGCCAGAGGAAACUCUGGUGGAGGCUCGUAGCGGUGCUGACGUGCAAAUCGCUCGUCGAACUUGGGUAUAGGGGCGAAAGACUAAUCGAACCAUCUAGUAGCUGGUUCCCUCCGAAGUUUCUCUCAGGAUAGCGGGCCGACAAGUUGUUUUGUGCGGUAAAGCGAAUGAUUAGCGCAUUCGGGGGCGUUUAGCCUUUGGGCGAUUCUCAAACUUUCAAUGCGCAAGGGUGCCGCUGCUUAAUUGAGCGGUACCGGUAAAAACGUCGGCCCUGUGGGCCACUUUUGGUAAGCA